RNAcentral lists this ribosomal RNA (503 nucleotides) under uncultured bacterium. Its description in RNAcentral is "partial 16S ribosomal RNA". It matches the Rfam family "Bacterial small subunit ribosomal RNA", at positions 30 to 523 of the family's 1533-position model. The record is from RNAcentral.
AUUGAACGCUGGCGGCAGGCUCAACACAUGCAAGUCGAGCGGGGUGAUGGUGCUUGCACUAUCACUUAGCGGCGGACGGGUGAGUAAUGCUUAGGAAUCUGCCUAUUAGUGGGGGACAACAUCUCGAAAGGGAUGCUAAUACCGCAUACGUCCUACGGGAGAAAGCAGGGGAUCACUUGUGACCUUGCGCUAAUAGAUGAGCCUAAGUCGGAUUAGCUAGUUGGUGGGGUAAAGGCCUACCAAGGCGACGAUCUGUAGCGGGUCUGGGAGGAUACUCGUGCACACAGGGACGCGCAGACGGAACACACAAAGCGGGGGGGCCUCAGAGAGAAAAAUUGGACAAUGAGGGGAACCUUGAUCAGGCCAUGCCGAGUGUGUAAAGAAAGACUUAUGGUUGUAAAGCACUUUAUACGAGGAGGGGGCUCUUUUGGUUAAUACCCAAGAUGAGUGGACGUUACUCGAAGAAUAUGCACCGGCUAACUCUGUGCCAGCCGCCGCCGUAA